RNAcentral lists this ribosomal RNA (301 nucleotides) under uncultured bacterium. RNAcentral describes it as "partial 16S ribosomal RNA". It matches the Rfam family "Bacterial small subunit ribosomal RNA", at positions 509 to 807 of the family's 1533-position model. The record is from RNAcentral.
CAGUAGCCGCGGUAACACGAAGGGUGCAAGCGUUAAUCGGAAUUACUGGGCGUAAAGCGUGCGUAGGCGGUGAGUUAAGUCUGCUGUGAAAUCCCCGGGCUCAACCUGGGAAUGGCAGUGGAUACUGGCUCGCUAGAGUGUGUCAGAGGAUGGUGGAAUUCCCGGUGUAGCGGUGAAAUGCGUAGAGAUCGGGAGGAACAUCAGUGGCAAAGGCGGCCAUCUGGGACAACACUGACGCUGAGGCACGAAAGCGUGGGGAGCAAACAGGAUUAGAUACCCCAGUAGUCCCUGUCUCUUAUAC